UGCACGAGUUUUUCUGAGAAAUUGCGAUAUUACAAAUUGCGUAAUAUGCAGCCGAGACGUUCGAUCGUGUACUUAUGUCAAUUUGUAAGAUAUUUUUAAUUGUCGUUUCUAAGUAAAACCAGGCUGUCUCUAAUUUCAAUCGGUCCUACAUUUUCUCACGCUCUCCAUUCAAUCCUUAUCCACUCGGAACCAUCCUCGCAGUAUCCUUUCGUUCAGGAAUUCCUUUUAAAAGCGAGAAACGAUAGCCGGAAUGGACGACCCUAUAUUAUCAGGUACUUCAACGUCUUAUCGGGCAUUGGUGGCGACCUGUUCAUCGCUCCUCCAGCAGUAAUCUCAACCUACCGAUACUAUAUGCAGACAUUAAAAGGGGCCUCGUUGCUGCAGUCCCUGAAGGGCCUCAAGCACGAAACUGGAAGCAAAGGGAGGGAAGGAACAUUUGACAAGAGGGGUCGUCGUCUCUGACCCGCAUCGUAAUGGCGUUCUCUCUUUCUUGACAUUUGACCUAACCCAACCCCAUACUAGGGCGGACAGAAAGAUUCCGAGAAAAGAGUGAGGGACCAGGAUAAAAAAAGAUGCGUUUCUCCGAGAAUUCAACGUCCUCCGACGCAAUCGAGGUGCACGGAAAAUUUUCAAAGGAGUCUCGCUGCUCCGUCUCUCUUUGAUCGUUCCCCACGUGACAUCCCUCUAAGGAGCCACUUUAUACCAUGACAGUUCCUCUCCGAAGCUACAACUGCGCAGGCGCGCCGCUUGCGUGCGGCGCCACCUUAUACCGAAGCAUUGUACUCACCUCGUACGGCGCAUCUGUCCGUGCUUUAUUGGCCUAUUUCUGGGAAGUUAAAAACCGGCGGGUUAUUCAAAUCGCCAAGAGACGCUACACUAUAUCUUAUUACGUAGAAUUGUAUUGUCGUGUCCUUACCGAAAGGACGUAACGUUCUGCUAGUGAUUAUUCAUUCGCCUUUUUUUUUUUCUUUUUCUUUUUACAACCAGACCUUGGACUCUCCAAGCAUCUGUCCGUCGCCUCUUGAUUUUCGUGGAAUUAAAUUAUUUCUUGAACUCUUGUAAUCUGUCUACAGCUGAUAAAAAAAAUAUUAACGUUACUUCUUCGACGCCAUGGCACGAUAAGUUCAAACACGUUAGGCCACGGUUCUCUGAAUCUUCGAGCAUAUUAUUAUUUGACAAAAAAAAAAGAGAAAGAAUCGCAUAGACUUAUUUUUUUAAUAUUGCUACGCCAUUGCCCAAAGGGGUCUGGACCCAGCCUACCCAGUCUGCCUGCCUGAAUUCUGCUUCAGGCUUCAGUCCCCUAUCUCUUCUUCCACGUAGAACAGCUGUCCGCUUUUAAUCUCUCGUUCCUCUUAAAUUCAAUUCCCCCGAUCGUUAAUCGUACCUGGGGAUCAAAGUUCAAAGAACCGUGGAGCCCGACGCCGCGGCGUCCGCACUUUUACUUCACGUCCUGGGAACGAAAUGUCCUGAUAAGGAUCUCUGGACGCAGUUCGCAGGUGCGAGACGGAUUUUAAUCUAUGAAUAUUUUUUUUUUAUGUUUUCACUGUUAUCGUUGGUCAUGCAUUUUUAGCAACAAUUCUUCCCUAUCCUUGGUCCUCUCUUUUUUUUCUCAAUGCAAAAAUCAAACUUUAUGGAGAUUCGUUAUUGGUCAGUGGCCUUUUUGCUGUCGCUACGAAAACCUAACCGAUACCCGAUAACGAUUUAUAGCUCAUGGACGAUCGUUGCAAUCGUUACGCCAGGAAGCAGAAAUACUUGGCUGUAAUAUUGGUUAUUGAUCUCUUUGCGAUCGUGACGUCACGUACGACGAUACGAAAUUCCGAUAAGGAUUCGUGGAAUUAAUUUUAUCAGUGCCCACGUAUCUAUGUACAAGUCGUCAUUACAUUUAUUAUUUUUAAUAUUCUAUCAUUUUAUUCCGACCCCCUCUCCGUCCCUUUUCUGUUUUUUACUGCACCCGUACCGAAACGUAUUUUUUAUUUCUAUUGUACUCCAAGCAUUUUAUCUAAAUGAUUAAUAAAUAUCUUUAUCGCUAU
Long non-coding RNA from Cephus cinctus (wheat stem sawfly), 2030 nucleotides. RefSeq lists it as uncharacterized. NCBI's taxonomy places the organism in Eukaryota, Metazoa, Arthropoda, Insecta, Hymenoptera, Cephidae. The transcript is spliced from 4 exons. The record is from RefSeq and is a predicted model, not a curated record.